GAUACUGUGCCAGAGGGAGUCAGUAUCCAACCUGACUAUCCAAGGAUUCUUGUGUACCAUGCGCAAACCGUUCUACUGUCACCACACAGAAGCAAUCAUCGAGCACAAGUUAUCAGCAAAAGAAAAGCAGUAAUCACAAAAGAACACUGAAGGACCUCCAAACGGUGUACUUUGAAAAACAGAUUGAUCUAGCCGAGGCACAGAUGGAAUGCUUCAACAAGAUUUCAAAGCUAGCCGAUGUUUUAAUCGAGAAAUUCAAAUAACUUUUGAAAUUAUUAUC
Mercenaria mercenaria is the source of this 280-nucleotide long non-coding RNA. RefSeq lists it as uncharacterized. Lineage: Eukaryota; Metazoa; Mollusca; Bivalvia; Venerida; Veneridae. The transcript has 3 exons. The record is from RefSeq and is a predicted model, not a curated record.